CGUUCAAUUAUUGCAGUUCGCGAGAUACAAAUAUUCUUGCGAUUUACUGUAUUUGGAUAUUCUUCGUGCAAUCAUCAACGUGGACGGACGUCAAAGUGAAACCACGCGAGUUCGGCAUUUCCAUAUAUACAGAACAUACUGUCAACGCGAGUAUCUUGAACUAGUUCGAUUAUUUGCUUACGCUGCUGGAAUAAGAAGCACGGAAGAGUCUUUUUCGCGCGAUAUUUGGGUUGAAAGAGGGGAAGCCCUGUGAUUUUGGUACAAUGAAUACAAAGCUUAAUGAAAACGAGAUAAAUGAAAAGUUACGUAAUGUGAAUUCCAUCGAGGGAUUCUAUUCCGGAACUGGAAUUCUUAUGACAGGAGCGACAGGAUUCGUGGGCAAAGGCCUCCUCGAAAAAUUGAUACGCACGUGUUCACGCAUCGCUGCUAUUUUUAUAUUGAUCCGGCC
This is a long non-coding RNA of Bombus impatiens (common eastern bumble bee), 448 nucleotides long. RefSeq lists it as uncharacterized. The transcript is spliced from 2 exons. Lineage: Eukaryota; Metazoa; Arthropoda; Insecta; Hymenoptera; Apidae. The record is from RefSeq and is a predicted model, not a curated record.